RNAcentral lists this ribosomal RNA (493 nucleotides) under uncultured bacterium. RNAcentral's name for it is "partial 16S ribosomal RNA". It matches the Rfam family "Bacterial small subunit ribosomal RNA", at positions 29 to 523 of the family's 1533-position model. The record is from RNAcentral.
AUUGAACGCUGGCGGCAUGCUUUAUACAUGCAAGUCGAACGGUAACAGGUUAAGCUGACGAGUGGCGAACGGGUGAGUAAUUCAUCGGAACGUGCCCGGCCGUGGGGGAUAACGCAGCGAGAGCUGCGCUAAUACCGCAUACGAUCUGCGGAUGAAAGCGGGGGACCGUAAGGCCUCGCGCGAUCGGAGCGGCCGAUGUCAGAUUAGGUAGUUGGUGGGGUAAAGGCUCACCAAGCCGACGAUCUGUAGCUGGUCUGAGAGGACGACCAGCCACACCGGGACUGAGACACGGCCCAGACUCCUGCGGGAGGCAGCAGUGGGGAAUUUUGGACAAUGGGCGCAAGCCUGAUCCAGCAAUGCCGCGUGCAGGAAGAAGGCCUUCGGGUUGUAAACUGCUUUUGUACGGAGCGAAAAGGCUCUCGCUAAUACGGGGGGCUCAUGACGGUACCGUAAGAAUAAGCACCGGCUAACUAAGUGCCAGCCGCCGCAGUAA